GCCAUGGUAGCUCAGUUGGCAAGGCAUUGGACUUAUAAUUCAAGGGUCUCAGGUCUGAUACUUGACAGGCA
Non-coding RNA from Potamilus streckersoni, 71 nucleotides. Lineage: Eukaryota; Metazoa; Mollusca; Bivalvia; Unionida; Unionidae. The record is from the annotation of a GenBank genome assembly.